RNAcentral lists this ribosomal RNA (532 nucleotides) under uncultured Bifidobacterium sp. RNAcentral describes it as "bacterial SSU rRNA". It matches the Rfam family "Bacterial small subunit ribosomal RNA", at positions 147 to 681 of the family's 1533-position model. Lineage: Bacteria; Bacillati; Actinomycetota; Actinomycetes; Bifidobacteriales; Bifidobacteriaceae. The record is from RNAcentral.
CUCCUGGAAACGGGUGGUAAUGCCGGAUGUUCCACAUGAGCGCAUGCGAGUGUGGGAAAGGCUUUUGCGGCAUGGGAUGGGGUCGCGUCCUAUCAGCUUGUUGGUGGGGUAACGGCCUACCAAGGCGUUGACGGGUAGCCGGCCUGAGAGGGCGACCGGCCACAUUGGGACUGAGAUACGGCCCAGACUCCUACGGGAGGCAGCAGUGGGGAAUAUUGCACAAUGGGCGCAAGCCUGAUGCAGCGACGCCGCGUGCGGGAUGGAGGCCUUCGGGUUGUAAACCGCUUUUGUUCAAGGGCAAGGCAGGCUUUCGGGCCUGUUGAGUGGAUUGUUCGAAUAAGCACCGGCUAACUACGUGCCAGCAGCCGCGGUAAUACGUAGGGUGCAAGCGUUAUCCGGAUUUAUUGGGCGUAAAGGGCUCGUAGGCGGUUCGUCGCGUCCGGUGUGAAAGUCCAUCGCUUAACGGUGGAUCCGCCCCGGGUACGGGCGGGCUUGAGUGCGGUACGGGAGACUGGAAUUCCCGGUGUAACGG